This 729-nucleotide ribosomal RNA is filed under the name Megophrys feae (Kakhien Hills spadefoot toad). Its description in RNAcentral is "partial 16S ribosomal RNA". It matches the Rfam family "Bacterial large subunit ribosomal RNA", at positions 1831 to 2835 of the family's 2925-position model. The record is from RNAcentral. Lineage: Eukaryota; Metazoa; Chordata; Amphibia; Anura; Megophryidae.
CGCCUUUUGAAUAUUAUAUCAGGUAAUGCCUGCCCAGUGACCAUGUGUUCAACGGCCGCGGUAUUCUGACCGCGCGAAGGUAGCGUAAUCACUUGUUUUUUAAAUAAAGACUAGUAUGAAUGGCCCCACGAGGACUUAACUGUCUCCCUUGUCCAAUCAGUGAAACUGAUCUCCUCGUGCAGAAGCGAGGAUUCUCUCAUAAGACGAGAAGACCCUAUGGAGCUUUAAACUAAAAUCAACUAUUACCCACCUAUCCUCUAAGGGCCUAAUAAAUAGCUAAAUAUGCUUGAUUUAAGUUUUAGGUUGGGGCGACCAUGGAGAAAAAGAAAUCCUCCCUGAUGACCACAAACCAAGAGUCACUACUCUAAGUAUUAAGACGCUUAACUCUAAUUGACCCAUUUUAUGAUCAACGAACCAAGUUACCCUAGGGAUAACAGCGCAAUCCAUUUCAAGAGUCCCUAUCGACAAGUGGGUUUACGACCUCGAUGUUGGAUCAGGGCAUCCAAGUGGUGCAACCGCUACUAAUGGUUCGUUUGUUCAACGAUUAAAGCCCUACGUGAUCUGAGUUCAGACCGGAGCAAUCCAGGUCGGUUUCUAUCUAUGACUGAACUCUUUCUAGUACGAAAGGACCGAAAAAGUAGAGCCUAUGCCCACCCAUGCUCUAGCCUAAAACUUUUGAAAUAAUCUAAAAUAGUAAUAAGCCUGUUUUUAUUUUCCCUAAACCAGGGC